Long non-coding RNA from Oryzias melastigma (Indian medaka), 356 nucleotides. RefSeq lists it as uncharacterized. The record is from RefSeq and is a predicted model, not a curated record. Lineage: Eukaryota; Metazoa; Chordata; Actinopteri; Beloniformes; Adrianichthyidae. The transcript has 2 exons.
AGGAUCCGUUAGGUGUGAACGUGAGGGUGUGUUGUUGCAUGUUUCUGCGUGGUUCUGUGAUCAGUGUACCCCACUGUAACUCAACAGUGGCUGGGCGGGUUCCAGCUCCCCAGAGAGGAUUAAGCAGGUUAAAAAAUGAAUAAAAUAUAUAUUCUUGUGUUUAUUUGUCAACUGAUGUGUCUUCUCCGUCUCUGCAGGGGGGUUGCAUUACUAAGCUGGAGCAGUUCCUAGCAGACCACUUGUUAGUCAUUGGAGCUGUGGGCAUCGGAGUGGCUUGUCUCCAGGAUGAAUGUAUUCAGUCCUAUUAAUUAAUUGAUCUCUGAAUAAAUCAGAUUCACACUUUGAAUCCUCCCAGA